CUGAACCCCCAUAAUGACUACUGUCAACACUGUUGUUAUAGGUUAACUGUCUGUCUGUCUGUAUCAGGGGACCCAGAGUCUGAACCCCCAUAAUGACUACUGUCAACACUGUUGUUAUAGGUUAACUGUCUGUCUGUCUGUAUCAGGGUACCCAGAGUCUGAACCCCCAUAAUGACUACUGUCAACACUGUUGUUAUAGGUUAACUGUCUGUCUGUCUGUAUCAGGGGACCCAGAGUCUGAACCCCCAUAAUGACUACUGUCAACACUGUUGUUAUAGGUUAACUGUCUGUCUGUCUGUAUCAGGGGACCCAGAGUCUGAACCCCCAUAAUGACUACUGUCAACACUGUUGUUAUAGGUUAACUGUCUGUCUGUCUGUAUCAGGGGACCCAGAGUCUGAACCCCCAUAAUGACUACUGUCAACACUGUUGUUAUAGGUUAACUGUCUGUCUGUCUGUAUCAGGGGACCCAGAGUCUGAACCCCCAUAAUGACUACUGUCAACACUGUUGUUAUAGGUUAACUGUCUGUCUGUCUGUAUCAGGGGACCCAGAGUCUGAACCCCCAUAAUGACUACUGUCAACACUGUUGUUAUAGGUUAACUGUCUGUCUGUCUGUAUCAGGGGACCCAGAGUCUGAACCCCCAUAAUGACUACUGUCAACACUGUUGUUAUAGGUUAACUGUCUGUCUGUCUGUAUCAGGGGACCCAGAGUCUGAACCCCCAUAAUGACUACUGUCAACACUGUUGUUAUAGGUUAACUGUCUGUCUGUCUGUAUCAGGGGACCCAGAGUCUGAACCCCCAUAAUGACUACUGUCAACACUGUUGUUAUAGGUUAACUGUCUGUCUGUCUGUAUCAGGGGACCCAGAGUCUGAACCCCCAUAAUGACUACUGUCAACACUGUUGUUAUAGGUUAACUGUCUGUCUGUCUGUAUCAGGGGACCCAGAGUCUGAACCCCCAUAAUGACUACUGUCAACACUGUUGUUAUAGGUUAACUGUCUGUCUGUCUGUAUCAGGGGACCCAGAGUCUGAACCCCCAUAAUGACUACUGUCAACACUGUUGUUAUAGGUUAACUGUCUGUCUGUCUGUAUCAGGGGACCCAGAGUCUGAACCCCCAUAAUGACUACUGUCAACACUGUUGUUAUAGGUUAACUGUCUGUCUGUCUGUAUCAGGGUACCCAGAGUCUGAACCCCCAUAAUGACUACUGUCAACACUGUUGUUAUAGGUUAACUGUCUGUCUGUCUGUAUCAGGGGACCCAGAGUCUGAACCCCCAUAAUGACUACUGUCAACACUGUUGUUAUAGGUUAACUGUCUGUCUGUCUGUAUCAGGGUACCCAGAGUCUGAACCCCCAUAAUGACUACUGUCAACACUGUUGUUAUAGGUUAACUGUCUGUCUGUCUGUAUCAGGGUACCCAGAGUCUGAACCCCCAUAAUGACUACUGUCAACACUGUUGUUAUAGGUUAACUGUCUGUCUGUCUGUAUCAGGGUACCCAGAGUCUGAACCCCCAUAAUGACUACUGUCAACACUGUUGUUAUAGGUUAACUGUCUGUCUGUCUGUCUGUAUCAGGGGACCCAGAGUCUGAACCCCCAUAAUGACUACUGUCAACACUGUUGUUAUAGGUUAACUGUCUGUCUGUCUGUAUCAGGGGACCCAGAGUCUGAACCCCCAUAAUGACUACUGUCAACACUGUUGUUAUAGGUUAACUGUCUGUCUGUCUGUAUCAGGGGACCCAGAGUCUGAACCCCCAUAAUGACUACUGUCAACACUGUUGUUAUAGGUUAACUGUCUGUCUGUCUGUAUCAGGGUACCCAGAGUCUGAACCCCCAUAAUGACUACUGUCAACACUGUUGUUAUAGGUUAACUGUCUGUCUGUCUGUAUCAGGGGACCCAGAGUCUGAACCCCCAUAAUGACUACUGUCAACACUGUUGUUAUAGGUUAACUGUCUGUCUGUCUGUA
Long non-coding RNA from Oncorhynchus keta (chum salmon), 1963 nucleotides. RefSeq lists it as uncharacterized. NCBI's taxonomy places the organism in Eukaryota, Metazoa, Chordata, Actinopteri, Salmoniformes, Salmonidae. The transcript is spliced from 6 exons. The record is from RefSeq and is a predicted model, not a curated record.